ACGAGGUAUAGAGAAAUGAUAGAACACCGUCACAUUCUAUGUUUCUAUAAGGAAAAGCCAGGGGUCAGGGAUGCCAGAAAACAGGAAAGUCAAAAUCAAUGCCAAAGUCAAAUUACCAGAAUAACCAGAAUCAAUAACGCGCUCUCAGACAACCACAAGGGAAACCAUGACAGGGCACUGAGCAAGGAGAACUGGGCCUAAAUACCCC
Molecule: non-coding RNA, 208 nt
Organism: Pelobates cultripes (western spadefoot toad)
Lineage: Eukaryota; Metazoa; Chordata; Amphibia; Anura; Pelobatidae
Source: the annotation of a GenBank genome assembly